UUUGGGAGAGAAAAGCGACGUUGGAACAAAAAUUUUUAAGAGAAGAACGUGUUUGAACCCCCUUUGAUGUGUCUCCUAAGAUUAGCUCCUUAGGAUGAGCAUCUACAUCCUUCCAAUCCUUGGGUAAGGAUGUUUCGGAAGUGGAUGUAUCCAAGUUACUAGUUGGAGAUGGGGUUUCAUUUAAAUUCAAGGAAUCAAAAUUAACAUCAUCAUCAAAAUCGUUUUUCCUGAUUUCGGAAAUCUUAUUGAAGAAAACAUGAAUGGAUUCUUCAAUAAUUAAAGUUUUUUUAUUGAAGAUAUGAAAAGCUUUAGAAACCGAAAUAACCAAGAAAGAU
RNAcentral lists this long non-coding RNA (335 nucleotides) under Musa acuminata (dwarf banana). Its description in RNAcentral is "long non-coding RNA (MACU_LNC005728)". The record is from RNAcentral. Lineage: Eukaryota; Viridiplantae; Streptophyta; Magnoliopsida; Zingiberales; Musaceae.